RNAcentral lists this ribosomal RNA (1017 nucleotides) under uncultured bacterium. Its description in RNAcentral is "bacterial SSU rRNA". It matches the Rfam family "Bacterial small subunit ribosomal RNA", at positions 355 to 1375 of the family's 1533-position model. The record is from RNAcentral.
UGAGGAAUAUUGGUCAAUGGACGAGAGUCUGAACCAGCCAAGUAGCGUGAAGGAUGAAGGUUCUAUGGAUUGUAAACUUCUUUUAUACGGGAAUAAACGAAUCCACGCGUGGAUUUUUGCAUGUACCGUAUGAAUAAGGAUCGGCUAACUCCGUGCCAGCAGCCGCGGUAAUACGGAGGAUCCGAGCGUUAUCCGGAUUUAUUGGGUUUAAAGGGAGCGUAGAUGGGUUGUUAAGUCAGUUGUGAAAGUUUGCGGCUCAACCGUAAAAUUGCAAUUGAUACUGGCAGUCUUGAGUACAGUUGAGGUAGGCGGAAUUCGUGGUGUAGCGGUGAAAUGCUUAGAUAUCACGAAGAACUCCGAUUGCGAAGGCAGCUUACUAACCUGUAACUGACAUUGAUGCUCGAAAGUGUGGGUAUCAAACAGGAUUAGAUACCCUGGUAGUCCACACGGUAAACGAUGAAUACUCGCUGUAGGCGAUAUACAGUCUGCGGCCAAGCGAAAGCAUUAAGUAUUCCACCUGGGGAGUACGCCGGCAACGGUGAAACUCAAAGGAAUUGACGGGGGCCCGCACAAGCGGAGGAACAUGUGGUUUAAUUCGAUGAUACGCGAGGAACCUUACCCGGGCUUAAAUUGCAGAUGAAUUACGGUGAAAGCCGUAAGCCGCAAGGCAUCUGUGAAGGUGCUGCAUGGUUGUCGUCAGCUCGUGCCGUGAGGUGUCGGCUUAAGUGCCGUAACGAGCGCAACCCUUGUUGUCAGUUACUAACAGGUUUUGCUGAGGACUCUGACAAGACUGCCAUCGUAAGAUGUGAGGAAGGUGGGGAUGACGUCAAAUCAGCACGGCCCUUACGUCCGGGGCUACACACGUGUUACAAUGGGGGGUACAGAGGGCCGCUACCACGCGAGUGGAUGCCAAUCCCCAAAACCUCUCUCAGUUCGGACUGGAGUCUGCAACCCGACUCCACGAAGCUGGAUUCGCUAGUAAUCGCGCAUCAGCCACGGCGCGGUGAAUACGUUCCC